RNAcentral lists this ribosomal RNA (253 nucleotides) under uncultured bacterium. Its description in RNAcentral is "partial 16S ribosomal RNA". It matches the Rfam family "Bacterial small subunit ribosomal RNA", at positions 524 to 776 of the family's 1533-position model. The record is from RNAcentral.
GACGUAGGGCGCGAGCGUUGUCCGGAUUUAUUGGGCGUAAAGGGCGCGUAGGCGGUCACGCACGUCCGUUGUGAAAUCGCUCGGCUCAACUGGGCGGGGUCAGCGGAUACGGCGUGGCUGGAGCAAGCUAGGGGGCAAUGGAAUUCCCGGUGUAGUGGUGGAAUGCGUAGAUAUCGGGAGGAACACCAUUGGCGAAGGCGGUUGCCUGGAGCUUUGCUGACGCUGAUGCGCGAAAGCGUGGGGAGCGAUCCGG